Molecule: transfer RNA, 87 nt
Filed under: Leersia perrieri
Lineage: Eukaryota; Viridiplantae; Streptophyta; Magnoliopsida; Poales; Poaceae
Rfam family: tRNA
About the family: Transfer RNA (tRNA) molecules are approximately 80 nucleotides in length. Their secondary structure includes four short double-helical elements and three loops (D, anti-codon, and T loops). Further hydrogen bonds mediate the characteristic L-shaped molecular structure. tRNAs have two regions of fundamental functional importance: the anti-codon, which is responsible for specific mRNA codon recognition, and the 3' end, to which the tRNAs corresponding amino acid is attached (by aminoacyl-tRNA synthetases). tRNAs cope with the degeneracy of the genetic code in two manners: having more than one tRNA (with a specific anti-codon) for a particular amino acid; and 'wobble' base-pairing, i.e. permitting non-standard base-pairing at the 3rd anti-codon position.
Source: Rfam by way of RNAcentral
CCGACCUUAGCUCAGUUGGUAGAGCGGAGGACUGUAGUGCGUCGCAGGUUAAUCCUUAGGUCGCUGGUUCGAAUCCGGCAGGUCGGA